CCAGCUCUCCGAGUAGUAGGGACGAUUAUUGGGCUUAAAGCGUCCGUAGCCGGCUUAGCAAGUUUCCUGUUAAAUUCAGCGACCUAAUCGUUGAGCCGCGGGAGAUACUACUAGGCUAGGAGGCGGGAGAGGCCGACGGUAUUCCCGGGGUAGGGGUGAAAUCCUAUAAUCCCGGGAGGACCACCAGUGGCGAAGG
RNAcentral lists this ribosomal RNA (196 nucleotides) under uncultured crenarchaeote. RNAcentral's name for it is "partial 16S ribosomal RNA". It matches the Rfam family "Archaeal small subunit ribosomal RNA", at positions 476 to 672 of the family's 1478-position model. Lineage: Archaea; Thermoproteati; Thermoproteota. The record is from RNAcentral.